GGGUCAGUAGGUUGGUCGUGCCACCGGUACGUACUGGUCUCACUGAUUCCUCCUUCCUGAAGAACCGUAAUGCCAUUAAUUUGGUGUUGCGGGGAAACAGGACUGUUACUUUGAAAAAAUUAGAGUGUUUAAAGCAGGCUAACGCUUGAAUACAUUAGCAUGGAAUAAUGAAAUAGGACGAUCAAUCCUAUUUUGUUGGUUUCUAGGAUUGACGUA
RNAcentral lists this ribosomal RNA (216 nucleotides) under Glomeromycotina sp. RNAcentral describes it as "partial small subunit ribosomal RNA". The stretch from base 40 to 216 matches the Rfam family "Eukaryotic small subunit ribosomal RNA", at positions 686 to 864 of the family's 1831-position model. Lineage: Eukaryota; Fungi; Glomeromycota. The record is from RNAcentral.